This 78-nucleotide transfer RNA is filed under the name Omnitrophica WOR_2 bacterium RBG_13_44_8b. RNAcentral describes it as "tRNA-Pro". It matches the Rfam family "tRNA". From Rfam's summary of the family: Transfer RNA (tRNA) molecules are approximately 80 nucleotides in length. Their secondary structure includes four short double-helical elements and three loops (D, anti-codon, and T loops). Lineage: Bacteria; Pseudomonadati; Candidatus Omnitrophota. RNAcentral also lists the same sequence under 1 other name. The record is from RNAcentral.
CGGGGAGUAGCGCAGUUUGGCUAGCGCGUUUGAAUGGGGUUCAAAAGGUCGUGGGUUCAAGUCCCACCUCCCCGACCA